Molecule: ribosomal RNA, 442 nt
Filed under: uncultured bacterium
Lineage: Bacteria
Description: partial 16S ribosomal RNA
Rfam family: Bacterial small subunit ribosomal RNA
Source: RNAcentral
CCUACGGGAGGCAGCAGUGGGGAAUAUUGGGCAAUGGGCGCAAGCCUGACCCAGCAACGCCGCGUGAAGGAAGAAGGCUUUCGGGUUGUAAACUUCUUUUGAGAGGGACGAGCAGAGGACCGUACCUUUUGAAUUAGCCCCGGCGAACUACGUGCCAGCAGCCGCCGUAAUACGGUAGUGGCAAGCGUUGUCCGGAUUUACUGGGUGUAAAGGGCGUGCAGGCGGGAAGACAAGUCAGAUGUGAAAUCCCGCGGCUCAACCCGGGAACUGCAUUUGAAACUGGUUUUCUUGAGUUACGGAGAGGUAGACGGAAUUCCUGGUGUAGCGGUGAAAUGCGUAGAUAUAAGGAAGAACACCAGUGGCGAAGGCGGAUUACUGGACAGCAACUGACGGUGAGGCGCGAAAGCGUGGGGAGCAAACAGGAGUAGAUACCCUGGUAGUC